Molecule: ribosomal RNA, 253 nt
Filed under: uncultured bacterium
Lineage: Bacteria
Description: partial 16S ribosomal RNA
Rfam family: Bacterial small subunit ribosomal RNA
Source: RNAcentral
UACGGGGGGUGCGAGCGUUGUCCGGAAUCACUGGGCGUAAAGGGCGCGUAGGUGGUUUGAUAAGGGUGUGGUGAAAGCCCGGGGCUCAACCCCGGGUCUGCCGUGCCGACUGUCAAACUCGAGGGCUGUAGAGGCAGACGGAAUUCCGGGUGUAGCGGUGGAAUGCGUAGAGAUCGGAAAGAACACCAACGGCGAAAGCACUCUGCUGGGCCGACACUGACACUGAGAGACGAAAGCUAGGGGAGCGAAUGGG